RNAcentral lists this unclassified non-coding RNA (229 nucleotides) under plant metagenome. RNAcentral's name for it is "partial contains small subunit ribosomal RNA, internal transcribed spacer 1, and 5.8S ribosomal RNA". The record is from RNAcentral.
GCUCCGUAGGUGAACCUGCGGAGGGAUCAUUACAGAGUUUUUGCCCGCAAGGGUAGAUCUCCCACCCUAUGUUAUUCCUUCUCUGUUGCUUUGGCGGGCCGUCCGGCCUCGGUCAGGCCACCGGCUCCGGCUGGUGCGCGCCCGCCAGAGGACCCCAAACCCUAAAUGUCAGUGUCGUCUGAGUACUAUAUAAUAGUUAAAACUUUCAACAACGGAUCUCUUGGUUCUG